ACACGACUACAUUAAGAUACCCCCGUAGUCCUAGCCGUAAACGAUACUCGCUAGGUGUCGGCCACGGUGCGACCGUUGUCGGUGCCGUAGGGAAGCCGUGAAGCGAGCCACCUGGGAAGUACGGCCGCAAGGCUGAAACUUAAAGGAAUUGGCGGGGGAGCACAACAACGGGUGGAGCUUGCGGUUUAAUUGGAUUCAACGCCGGAAAUCUUACCGGGACCGACAGCAACAUGAAGGCCAAGCUGAAGACUUUGCCGGAUUAGCUG
Molecule: ribosomal RNA, 266 nt
Filed under: uncultured archaeon
Lineage: Archaea
Description: partial 16S ribosomal RNA
Rfam family: Archaeal small subunit ribosomal RNA
Source: RNAcentral